UUCAGGUGAAGUUUCAUGGCUUUGUGAUUAAAGUAUUCAGCUCAUAAUCAUAACAUCGUAAGCUCAAUACCUGGUGGUGCAUUGUGUCCUUGAGUAAGACACUUUAUUUUACAUUGCUCCAAUCCAGUCAGCUGGUAAAGAUGAGUAGUAGUUUACUUCAAAUGGCCAACCAUGUCACAUUCAGUUUCAUGUUGAAUCUCUCUGAGAACUAUGUUAAGGGUACACAUGUCUGUGGAGUGCUCAGCCCCUUUUACAUUA
Long non-coding RNA from Octopus sinensis (East Asian common octopus), 258 nucleotides. RefSeq lists it as uncharacterized. The transcript has 3 exons. The record is from RefSeq and is a predicted model, not a curated record. Lineage: Eukaryota; Metazoa; Mollusca; Cephalopoda; Octopoda; Octopodidae.